UACGUAGGGGGCUAGCGUUGUCCGGAUUUAUUGGGCGUAAAGAGCAUGUAGGCGGCCAGGUAGGUCUGCUGUGAAAACUCGAGGCUCAACCUCGAGACGUCGGCGGAAACCAUCUGGCUAGAGUCCGGAAGAGGAGAGUGGAAUUCCUGGUGUAGCGGUGAAAUGCGCAGAUAUCAGGAAGAACACCAAUAGCGAAGGCAGCUCGCUGGGACGUUACUGACACUGAGGCGCGAAAGCGUGGGGAGCGAACAGG
Molecule: ribosomal RNA, 253 nt
Filed under: uncultured bacterium
Lineage: Bacteria
Description: partial 16S ribosomal RNA
Rfam family: Bacterial small subunit ribosomal RNA
Source: RNAcentral